RNAcentral lists this long non-coding RNA (544 nucleotides) under Homo sapiens (human). RNAcentral describes it as "HSALNT0129040". Lineage: Eukaryota; Metazoa; Chordata; Mammalia; Primates; Hominidae. The record is from RNAcentral.
CAGGCAUUCAUUGAUUUAACAAAUAUUUAGUGGAUAUUCUACUAAAUAUUACUAAAUAUUUACUGUUCUUCACCUCUCAUAGUUUUAGGCACUGGUGAUAGAGCAGUGAACAAAGCAGUUUCUGCCCUCAUGGAGCUUACAUCCUAAUGAGAGAGCCUGAUAACAAGCAAGUAGCUGAAAUACAACAUCAUAAUUUUUACUGGAAAAUAGCCACAAUGAAGGAACACCACAAUUUCACCAUGAAAACCAGCACAACCUUACACAGAUGACAAACAUUUCCCCUCAAAACUUGUUAAACUGUAUUUGGGCUGACCAAAUUAACCAGAGUUAUUCUAUUUAUGGGGGAGCAGGAAGUAACUUGAUAAAAUGCUUUGAGUUUAUAUAUCAUGUCAAAUAAAUAGCAUAAUUUUAAAGGAAAAAAACUUGUUAGGCAAUGUUCUCUUAUUUUCUGACAUCACAUAUUGUGACAGAAUGUAAGGCCAACCUGGUUUUUACAAAUUCCGUGGUCUAAUUUUUUUGUUGUUGUUAGUGUAUAAAAAUAGCA